ACCUGGCUGGCUCGGUCGGUGGAGCGCACGACUCGUCAUCUCACGGUUGUGGGUUCGAGCCCCACGCUGGGUG
RNAcentral lists this transfer RNA (73 nucleotides) under Felis catus (domestic cat). It matches the Rfam family "tRNA". From Rfam's summary of the family: Transfer RNA (tRNA) molecules are approximately 80 nucleotides in length. Their secondary structure includes four short double-helical elements and three loops (D, anti-codon, and T loops). The record is from Rfam by way of RNAcentral. Lineage: Eukaryota; Metazoa; Chordata; Mammalia; Carnivora; Felidae.